This 805-nucleotide ribosomal RNA is filed under the name Chlorophorus miwai. Its description in RNAcentral is "partial 12S ribosomal RNA". The record is from RNAcentral. Lineage: Eukaryota; Metazoa; Arthropoda; Insecta; Coleoptera; Cerambycidae.
UGUAGUAUUACUUAAUUUUUUUUUGGAUUUAGUUUAUAAAUAUAUAUAUAUAAAUUUCAAUAGAAUAUUUAUUAGGUGAAAUUUUAAAUUUUUUGUACGAGUUUAUUUUUUGUUAAUUUGGCUGUGAAGUUUGUUAAUAAACUAGGAUUAGAUACCCUAUUAUUAUAAAUGUGAAAUUUUUAUCUAGAUUAGUAUUAGUUAUGAUCUUGAAAAUUAAAGAUUUUGGCGGUAUUUUAUUCUUUUCAGAGGAACCUGUCUAUUAAUCGAUGAUCCACGAUUUUUUCUACUUUUUCUUUGUUUAUAUAUCGUCGUUAUUGAAUAUUUUUAAAAAAAUUUAAUUUUCGUGAUUUUCAUUAAAAAGAAGAUCAGAUCAAGGUGUAGCUGAUGAAAAAGGUAUUGAUGGGUUACAUUAAAUUUAUAAGGGGAUUGUUUUAUUAAAUAAAACAUGAAUUAGGAUUUGAUUGUAAUUUUAAUUAAUUUAUUAAAAUGAUUAUAGAUCUAAAAUAUGCACAUAUCGCCCGUCGCUUUCACCUUAAAGUGAAAUAAGUCGUAACAAAGUAGGCUCACUGGAAAGUGAGCCUGGAAAGACGAGCUGGAGCUUGAUUUAAGCGUUUUAUUUACAUUAAAAAGUUAUUUGUGAAAUUCAAUUUAGCUUGAACUUUUUUUGUUAAUUUUUUUAUAAGAUAAUUUUUUAAUGGAAUUAGAUUUUUAAUUUUUAUUAUUCUAAAGAAAAAAUUUUUUUAUUUAUAGUUUAUUUUUACUGUGAAGGAUUUAAUUGAAGUAAUUUUAAGGAUAAUUAAUUUUU